GGGCGGGUGGCGGAACUGGCAGACGCACAGGACUUAAAAUCCUGACCUCGCAAGAGGGUGUGGGUUCAAGUCCCACCCCGCCCA
This 84-nucleotide transfer RNA is filed under the name Elusimicrobia bacterium RIFCSPHIGHO2_01_FULL_64_10. RNAcentral describes it as "tRNA-Leu". It matches the Rfam family "tRNA". Rfam says of the family: Transfer RNA (tRNA) molecules are approximately 80 nucleotides in length. Their secondary structure includes four short double-helical elements and three loops (D, anti-codon, and T loops). RNAcentral also lists the same sequence under 1 other name. Lineage: Bacteria; Pseudomonadati; Elusimicrobiota. The record is from RNAcentral.